This is a long non-coding RNA of Ailuropoda melanoleuca (giant panda), 2258 nucleotides long. RefSeq lists it as uncharacterized. NCBI's taxonomy places the organism in Eukaryota, Metazoa, Chordata, Mammalia, Carnivora, Ursidae. The transcript is spliced from 3 exons. The record is from RefSeq and is a predicted model, not a curated record.
CCCACCUGUACCCGAAAGAAAACCAGCUUCCAUGAACACGUCUAAGCAUCAGCUCCGUGCGGGUCCCCAUGCUGGGCCCUGUGAAGGGCAAGAACCAAGACCAGGUUGAGAGGAGGCAGCCAUGAAAGCAGACAGUGAUCGUGCACCUUGCUCUGCCUCUUUCUUGCUGUGGGACCUUGGGUAGAUCAUGAACCUCCCUGGUCCUCAACCUCCUUCACUGAGCACGGGGACAAGGAUACCUGCCUCAAAGGGCUGCUGUCAGCCCAGACCGAGGAGGAAUGGAGAUGUUGGUGACAAAACAGGAACAAGCGCUGGGAGUCUGGAAGUUUGGCAAGGCAUUGACUUGGACUUCAGGAUACAACUUGUCUGACACUUCACGCUCCUCAAAGCAAACUCUACACACCCCAUCAGUCCAUCAACAGCAUUCCUGGUGGUCUCUUUCAUUAAGGCCUGUCCUGGGCACUGACCUGGGGACAGACAGGGGGCAGGCAGGCAGGGGGGACCCACUCAUCUAAGGGAUAAGCCGAGCCAAUGAGAAGGAAGACCUCCCGGCUGUCUGGGGCCCAGAGGCUGCUCAAGCGCCCCGCGGCCAGCCUCGGAAGGGCGAAAAAUACCUAAUGCUUGCCAAGCAACGAGCAACGUGGCUGGAACAUCCUCGGGGAGGGUGUCUCUUAGCAACAGAACAGUAUCAGAGGGGCCAAGAGUGGGGCAGUGGCCUUUCAGAUGCCAGGGCACCCUGAAAGUUACUGGGUCAGACUCAGGACCCACGGAAGGCAGUAAGGCCUGAGGACUGCGAGAGGGAGGGCCCUUCAGCUUGGCUUCCUCUGGAGCCCAGGGGACAGCACCAGAUGCCCACUGGGCAAUGAGCCUAUUCACUCUCUUUCCUUUUUGUUCCUCCAAUCAAUAAGUAUUAGUAAAUGCCAACAUGGGCCAAGCACUAGGCUGGAGGUGAGCAGAACAGCUAGAACUCCUGUCUGCAAGGAGCGCUGCCUGGGGGGAAACAGGCACUGAAGUAGUAAGAGGAAGGAGGAGAGCUCUGCCGCUGUGAUUACUGCCACGAGCGAGGGCGUGUGAAGUGCCAGGGUGAUCUGGUCCUCGCAGGGAGACGGGGCACACUGCCCCGAGAGCUGAAGGGCGAGGAGGACUAGGGACACAGCGCACAGCACAGAAACCUCAUAUUAACCCAAACCGUUCCCUCCACUUUCUGGGCACAUAGCUAGACUGUCUCCGGGCCUCCCAGGCAGCUAGAUGUGCUCACAUGACUCAGGUCAUAUGCCACAGGGUGAAAGGGAUCAUUUCUGGGGACGGCCCAUUUGACACCUCCUGUGUGACCCUCUAUGUUUCUUCCCCCCCGCUCCCCGCUCAGCCAUCUAUCUGCCAGACGCAGAGGAGCCUAUAAGAUCCCCUUCAGGCCCUAUGGGAGGACAGAGCCAUAGCCAUAGGGACCUGGGUCUCCAGAAGAUCAUGUGUGAGGCCACCAGGCCACCUGGAAUACCCACAGUGGAUUUUGUGAAAUCAAGAACUAGGCUUCUACUGCGGGAGGUCAUCGGGACCGUGGGAGCUCACUGGGGAUUUUCGCUCCGCCUAAUGCAGAGAGGACGUGCCCCACGCAGAGAGCCAUGUGUGAAGGGCCUCACAGCAAGGAGGAGGAAAGCCUGUUGGAGGGAUGGAAAAAAGGCAGAGAGAAAAUGAGGCUGGAGGUGCAAGUCGGGGCCAGACAAAAGCUAGAAAAAUCUUGGUCCCUGAUGACCUAUGACAUGAAUUUUCAGAAAUACAAGGACCUAAAUAUGACAAGGUUUGGUCACAGAUUCGAUACGCGUGGUGAGGAGGGAUGUAACGGAGAGAGAAACAUUAAGGAUGACAGCCAGAUUUUGGCGUGAGUAAACUGCACGCGUGGUGGAGCUCUUCUCUAAGAUACGGGGCAAUGGAGGACCCUCAACGGAAGAUCAUUCAUUCAUUUCGGAUACAGGUACUUCGGAGGUACCUCUGAGACCUCCCAGCAGAGACUCAGGAUACGCUGGUCUGGAGUACACAGGAGGGCUCUGUGUUGGAAUUAUACAUUCGUGAGUCACCGUUCAUGGGCCGGCGGGUAUGUGAAGCCAUCCCGAGGGGGAGAGUCCAGAGUGAGGGGAGAGGGACCAGGAGCGGGCCUUGAGCAACUCGAACAUUUGGUCAUCGAGACCAGGGCUUGGCACACUUUUUCUGUCAAGGACCAGAGAGUAAAUGUUUUAGGCUUUAUUGGCCAUACCGGCUGUGUU